UAAAGACGAGAAGACCCUUAGAGUUUUUCUAAAGUUGAGAUUAUAAUUUCUCAUAACAGUUUAGUUGGGGCAACAUAGGAGCAGAAAAAUAUUUAAUCUCCUGAAAAUAAUUAAUCGAUUAUUUUAGUAUUGGAUAAACUACCUUAGGGAUAACAGCAUAAUUUUAUUAUUAAGUUUGUGACCUCGAUGUUGGACUGGGAAACUUAAAGGUUAGCCACCUUUAAGGUGAGUUCUGUUCGAACUAUUAUUCCC
RNAcentral lists this ribosomal RNA (252 nucleotides) under Polycera alabe. RNAcentral's name for it is "partial 16S ribosomal RNA". The record is from RNAcentral. Lineage: Eukaryota; Metazoa; Mollusca; Gastropoda; Nudibranchia; Polyceridae.